This is a long non-coding RNA of Cannabis sativa, 1679 nucleotides long. RefSeq lists it as uncharacterized. The record is from RefSeq and is a predicted model, not a curated record. The transcript is spliced from 2 exons. NCBI's taxonomy places the organism in Eukaryota, Viridiplantae, Streptophyta, Magnoliopsida, Rosales, Cannabaceae.
AAUUCGAAAUUGUAUUAAAAAAAGAAUUUUAAAAAUUCAAAUGUAAUUUUCUUAUUUCCCUAAUAAGUAUUCCUUUCCUUUGUUCUGCUAGCCUAUAAAAGGUGGAGCUUUUACAAUCUCAAACCCUCAACCUAAGCGGCGACUAAAACCCUAGCUCUCAGUGUUCUCCCAAUUUCACUUCAAUAUAGUAAGCAACAAUGGCGGCACCUUUGCUUUCGAAAAAAUAUCAUUUUUAAUUUGAGGGUUUAUCUAUGUCAAUGUAUGUAUAUAUCAUAUAUGUAUUGAAGAUUGAAUUUUUUGAGGCUUUAACGAAGUGAUGAUUGUAAUUUUGUCGCCCCAGUCUUACUUGCAAUUUUUCUGAUUGCUAGGUGGUGAUUGACAUUCAUAUCUGAUCUGAGCUUACUAACAUUUCGUUUUUCUUAACUGGAAUUGGAUUUAAAUUGUUCUAUGAUAUGAAGAUAAUCUUUGAUGUUCAGUCUUACUUACAUCUUUAUGAUGUAGCAUGGUGUAUCAAUGAUCGACUAUCUGAUCUUUUCUUCAAGCAAUUCCAAAUUCAAUUUCAUUUUGUAAAAUUGGUAUUUUCUUUUUGAAGUUUUUAUUAUUCUGUUUUUGCAAUUGGAUAUGAGGAUAACUACCCAACAUUUUCUGUAUUUGAAUGAUGAAUUCUUUACAUGCAUCACCAUCUGAUCCUUGUUGCAAAUUCAACUUUUAUUAUCAUAAAGUUUCAGUUUUUUUCUUCUUUCAAUUUUGGAUUGCUAUUUUUAUUAAAUUACACACAACCUAUGAUGCAAAAGUGUUAAAUGUACUGAUUUCAUAAGUGAUUAUUAUCAAACUUAUCACCAUCUUUCGGCUGAGGUUAAAAUGUCCAUUUUGUUAUAAUAAUAAGUCUUUGUUCAAUUUGUCUUUGCUCAUGGUAUCUAAUGUUCAAGGCUUAAUUUACAAUGUGAAUCUCUUUAGUCUUUCGAGGUCUUGUUGUUCAUAGGCUUUCUGUUACUUUUUCCCAGUUUAUAUUCCUUUUUCAAAGAAAACCCCUUUUGAAUCUUAUCACAUACAUUACAAUUUUCAACCAUGGUUUUUUAUCUUGUAUAUUUGCCAUUAGUUUCAUUGCUUUAACUCAAAUCACAGCUUUAGGCCCCUCCUCCUGUAACUUCAGCGCGAUGAAACAGCAAUUGGACAAAUUGAAAGCGUCCACAGCUCAACUCAUCUUUGGUCUUGUAUGAGGGUGAAAGAGAUGAGCAACCAAGUUCAGACAAGAUGACUCUGUUGUGUUGAUGUUAUUCAAGAGGAUCUUGAGACCAAAGGCAAAGGGGAUUAUUUGAUUCAUGAAAACCAACCAUUUGUUUCCCAAACAAUUUGUUGUGAACAUUGUCAAAGAGUUGGAAUUUUUUCUCAUCAUACACAACAGGACCUACUGCAUGUGCUGAGAUUGCUCAUAAUAUCAAGACUAUUUAGAUAGAGGAAGGAUAAUGUUAAGAAGAGAGCUUCUCAGCUUAAUUUUGUUGUGACUUGACAGGUUUGCUAGGUUGAGUAGAAUUAUCCUCAGAUUUGUUUUUAAACUUGUAAGAGUUGCCAAGUGUUGCAUUGAGUUAUUUUUCUCAAUAUACUCUGUUUAUUGAUUCAAUUUGAACCUAUUUGAUCAUAUUUGACAAGUGAAAUGAUAGUAGCUAAGAUUUGAUUUC